UGUAAGCGUAUACCAAAGUUGUUGCAGUUAAAACGCUCGUAGUCGGAAUUUGGCAGUUCCGGAUGUGUGCACGUCGUGUGCGCACUUCGCGGGGAUUGCUUUUGUGGUCUUGCGUAGGAUGAGGCACUUUUAUUAGUGAACGUCCUCACGCAACCACUUUUUACUGUGAGAAAAUCAGAGUGCUCAAAGCAGGCAUUUGCCGUGAAUGUAUUAGCAUGGAAUAAUAGAAUAGGACUUGGUUCUAUUUUGUUGGUUUGUUGGGACUGAGUAAUGAUUAAGAGGGACAGUUGGGGGCAUUUGUAUUUCGGUGCUAGAGGUGAAAUUCUUAGAUUACCAAAAGACAAACUGCUGCGAAAGCGUCUGCCAAGGAUGUUUUCAUUGA
RNAcentral lists this ribosomal RNA (382 nucleotides) under uncultured eukaryote. RNAcentral describes it as "partial 18S ribosomal RNA". It matches the Rfam family "Eukaryotic small subunit ribosomal RNA", at positions 592 to 976 of the family's 1831-position model. The record is from RNAcentral.